Molecule: transfer RNA, 95 nt
Filed under: Candidatus Bathyarchaeota archaeon
Lineage: Archaea; Thermoproteati; Candidatus Bathyarchaeota
Description: tRNA-Glu
Rfam family: tRNA
About the family: Transfer RNA (tRNA) molecules are approximately 80 nucleotides in length.
Source: RNAcentral
GCUCCGGUGGUGUAGCCCGGUUAGCCGUGCUGGACCGACAGCAUAGCGGCCUUUCGAGCCGUUGAUCGCGGGUUCAAAUCCCGCCCGGAGCACCA